This 736-nucleotide ribosomal RNA is filed under the name uncultured fungus. RNAcentral's name for it is "eukaryotic LSU rRNA". It matches the Rfam family "Eukaryotic large subunit ribosomal RNA", at positions 24 to 664 of the family's 3401-position model. Lineage: Eukaryota; Fungi. The record is from RNAcentral.
CCCGCUGAACUUAAGCAUAUCAGUAAGCGGAGGAAAAGAAACCAACCGGGAUCCCCCUAGUAACGGCGAGUGAAGAGGGGUCAGCCCAGCGCUUAAUCACUGCGUCCCCGUGACAAUGUGAGGUGUGGCGUAUGGACGGAUGUAGCUGCUUUGCGACGGCGACCGACUUCCUUUUGGAACGAGGACUCACAGAGGGUUAUAGGCCCGUAGAGUUGCCCGAACAUCGUGGUAUUGCGUCCGGCCUGGAGUCGAGUUGCUUGGGAACGCAGCUCUAAUUGGGUGGUACACUUCAUCCAAGGCUAAAUACGGCCACGAGACCGAUAGCAAACCAGUACCGUGAGGGGAAGUUGAAAACAACUCUGGAGAGAGAGUUAAAAGAGCGUGAAACCGGUGGGGUGGAAACGGAUGGAGCCGACGAAUAUGGCCUGCUCUAGUGGUGUGAAACUGGCUCGUCCGGUGGAUCGCUGCGAUUGUGUGGGUGCAGUGCGCUGAGGUGCGUGGGGUUGUCUGGUUUAAUGGUUGGAUACAUAGCGGACUUCACUCUCGAGUGUUGUUGCUUUCCUUCCGGCGAACUGUGGUGGCUGCGUUUAGUUGUGAGUGUGUGAUAAUGGUCUCUCGUUUGUUGCUCUCGAUGGACGCUUGCGUUCGUUUUUUGCUUCACUCGUAAGGCUGCGUUUGCACCUUGCUCUACUCGGUGUCAGAGUCGGUCACCCAUCCGACCCGUCUUGAAACACGG